RNAcentral lists this non-coding RNA (25 nucleotides) under Rattus norvegicus (Norway rat). Lineage: Eukaryota; Metazoa; Chordata; Mammalia; Rodentia; Muridae. The record is from RNAcentral.
UGACUAUGUCGGAAACGGCUCCUGC